UUAACCUCACCAUUUCUAGUUAAUCAGCCUGUAUACCUCCGUCGUCAGCUUACCACGUGAGCNCCAAUUAGUGAGCUUAAUGUCUUUCNCCAACACGUUAGGUCAAGGUGCAG
Molecule: ribosomal RNA, 113 nt
Filed under: Rhinella marina (marine toad)
Lineage: Eukaryota; Metazoa; Chordata; Amphibia; Anura; Bufonidae
Description: partial 12S ribosomal RNA
Source: RNAcentral